This 253-nucleotide ribosomal RNA is filed under the name uncultured bacterium. RNAcentral describes it as "partial 16S ribosomal RNA". It matches the Rfam family "Bacterial small subunit ribosomal RNA", at positions 524 to 776 of the family's 1533-position model. The record is from RNAcentral.
UACGAAGGGGGCUAGCGUUGCUCGGAAUCACUGGGCGUAAAGCGCACGUAGGCGGACUCUUAAGUCGGUGGUGAAAGCCCGGAGCUCAACUCCGGAAUUGCCUUUGAAACUGUCAGGCUCGAGUACGGGAGAGGUGAGUGGAAUUCCCAGUGUAGAGGUGAAAUUCGUAGAUAUUGGGAAGAACACCGGUGGCGAAGGCGGCUCACUGGCCCGUUUCUGACGCUCAGGCGCGACAGCGUGGGGAUCAAACAGG